RNAcentral lists this ribosomal RNA (497 nucleotides) under uncultured bacterium. Its description in RNAcentral is "partial 16S ribosomal RNA". It matches the Rfam family "Bacterial small subunit ribosomal RNA", at positions 28 to 507 of the family's 1533-position model. The record is from RNAcentral.
GAUGAACGCUGGCGGCGUGCCUAAUACAUGCAAGUCGAGCGAACGGACGAGAAGCUUGCUUCUCUGAUGUUAGCGGCGGACGGGUGAGUAACACGUGGAUAACCUACCUAUAAGACUGGGAUAACUUCGGGAAACCGGAGCUAAUACCGGAUGAUAUUUUGAACCGCAUGGUUCAAAAGUGAAAGACGGUCUUGCUGUCACUUAUAGAUGGAUCCGCGCUGCAUUAGCUAGUUGGUAAGGUAAUGGCUUACCAAGGCAACGAUGCAUAGCCGACCUGAGAGGGUGAUCGGCCACACUGGAACUGAGACACGGUCCAGACUCCUACGGGAGGCAGCAGUAGGGAAUCUUCCGCAAUGGGCGAAAGCCUGACGGAGCAACGCCGCGUGAGUGAUGAAGGUCUUCGGAUCGUAAAACUCUGUUAUUAGGGAAGAACAUAUGUGUAAGUAACUGUGCACAUCUUGACGGUACCUAAUCAGAAAGCCAUGGCUAACUACGUG